CGUUCCCGGGUCUUGUACACACCGCCCGUCACACCAUGGGAGUGGGUUUUACCAGAAGUAGGUAGCUUAACCGCAAGGAGGGCGCUUACCACGGUAGGAAUUCGUGACUGGGGUG
Molecule: ribosomal RNA, 115 nt
Filed under: uncultured bacterium
Lineage: Bacteria
Description: partial 16S ribosomal RNA
Rfam family: Bacterial small subunit ribosomal RNA
Source: RNAcentral